Long non-coding RNA from Paramisgurnus dabryanus, 240 nucleotides. RefSeq lists it as uncharacterized. The record is from RefSeq and is a predicted model, not a curated record. NCBI's taxonomy places the organism in Eukaryota, Metazoa, Chordata, Actinopteri, Cypriniformes, Cobitidae.
CAGAUUCAUUGCCAGGAUUUUAAUUCAGUGGCAGAGGACCUUGGGAUGUGAAGGGACUUUAAUACCUGAACAUUUUUUUCAGUUUCAAUGACAGGAUUUUAAUUCAGUGGCAGAGGACCUUGGGAGGUGAAGGGACUUUAAUACCUAAACAUUUUAUUUUCAGAUUCAUUGACAGGAUUUUAAUUCAGUGGCAGAGGACCUUGGGAGUUGGAGGGACUAUAAUACCUAAACAUUUUUUUU